AUGUGUCUGGUUGUACGCGCGGGCGAGGAACCGAGCAAGCGAGCACCUAUCGACCACUUCCCAGUCUCCCCCUCCCCCGAUUCCCAAUUCCCAAACCUAGCGGCCGGCGCCACGGCGGCGGGCGACGCGUGGGCGGCGGAGAAUCCAGGUCCGGCCGGCCCUCUCCUUCCCUCCCCUCGGCAGUACUGCCCCUCCAGCCUCGGCCUCCGGGCUCUGGUAGUCCAGGUCCACCCCUCCCCUCCCCGAACUGCAUCUGCACAGCUCCAGCGCUCCACCAAGAUGAAGAAGAAAGAUGUUAGCUUGUUUGAAUUGUGGGACAAAUCUUCAAAGGCAAGGAAAAUAAGUUCUACAUCCACACCAACUGCUCUUUCCGUUGAGGUUGAGAGCAACCUGCAGAACAUGAUGAAGCUGUUGAUGAAGAUGAUGAACCAAGUCCACAAUUCGAAGCAGAUUUGGUGGCUCUGGAACGUGAUCGUGGCAAGAAAUUUUGAUGAGGUUGACAUGGUUGUUCUCAAGAAUGCUCCACGGAAUUGCAAGAUGACUCACCAUGAUAUACAACAAGUGAUAAAAUGUUGUGCACAAGAGACUACUAAACUAGUCAUUGAAGAACUUGAUGGUGGUCAUUUUGCAAUACUUGCAGAUGAGUCUAGUGAUCAGCUUGCACACUUGUUAAAUGCUCUUGGCAUGUCUUGUAAAAAGAUGAGAAUUCUUCGGAUAGCUCAGGCUGAAGAACUCAUUGAUGCACUGGAAUUGGAAGAAGUAGAAAUAGGGAGUGGGCUGAAUCAGGAAAUGGGUUUGGGAAGGCCAUGUGCUACAAGUUGGGGCUCUUACAUCAAAACUGUGAACCAUGUGAAGAAUAAGCUAAGGAACAAAAUGGGUGAUGAAUAUUUGAACAAUUGUUUGGUUACAUUUGUUGAGAGAGAAUUUUUCAAUCAAGUGAAGGGUGAAGAUGUCAUCAAUCUCUUCCAGAAAGGCGACCGCAAAUUUAUAUUGUAA
This 996-nucleotide ribosomal RNA is filed under the name Triticum aestivum (bread wheat). Its description in RNAcentral is "partial small subunit ribosomal RNA". The record is from RNAcentral. Lineage: Eukaryota; Viridiplantae; Streptophyta; Magnoliopsida; Poales; Poaceae.